AAAGGACAAACUACAGGAGAAACAUCUCAACAGUCAAAUUAGUGCAACAAAUCAGAUACAAACUUGUGCUAAUUAAGAAGCACUCCACCAGCAGCAGUAUACACCUCAAUGCCCAGAAAAUAAUGCAAAGACCCAAGGUCUUUAAUCCUGAACUGGUCAGUAGACACCUCAAUGCCCAGAAAAUAAUGCAAAGACUCAAGGUCUUUGAUCCUGAACUGGUCAUCCAGGAAGUGUUUGAGGGCAGAAAGUUCAGCAACAUCAUCUCCAGUGAUAAUAAUGUCAUCCACAUACACUGCCAGAACCACAAGACACCCAGGCUGGCCCUUGACAAAUAAAGAGUAAUCAUUCAUAGAAUGGGUAUAGCCUCUAGAGUAUAGAGCAUGAGACAAUUUGGCAUACCACUGUCUGGAAUCCUG
This 416-nucleotide long non-coding RNA is filed under the name Nicotiana benthamiana. RNAcentral describes it as "long non-coding RNA (NBEN_LNC034737)". The record is from RNAcentral. Lineage: Eukaryota; Viridiplantae; Streptophyta; Magnoliopsida; Solanales; Solanaceae.